GUGCCAGCCGCCGCGGUAAGACGUAGGAUGCAAGCGUUGUCCGGAAUCAUUGGGCGUAAAGCGUUCGUAGGCGGUAUACCAAGUCUGAUGUUAAAGCCCGGAGCUCAACUCCGGUUCGGCAUUGGAUACUGGUAAACUAGAGUGCAAUAGAGGUAAGGGGAAUUCCUAGUGUAGCGGUGAAAUGCGUAGAUAUUAGGAGGAACACCGGUGGCGAAAGCGCCUUACUGGGUUGUAACUGACGCUGAGGAACGAAAGCCAGGGUAGCAAAUGGGAUUAGAUACCCGGGUAGUCC
Molecule: ribosomal RNA, 292 nt
Filed under: uncultured bacterium
Lineage: Bacteria
Description: partial 16S ribosomal RNA
Rfam family: Bacterial small subunit ribosomal RNA
Source: RNAcentral